GGGGAUGUUUUGGUUUUGACAGCAUCUGACAUCGGAAGGUAAGCACGUCCGGCGUUGAAGGUUUGCCGGCAAAUCUCAAUCUUCAAAACUAUAGUUGGCAACAACUCUUAUGCACUCGCUGCGUAGUCUUGGCCUAAGGCAGACUCCUUAAUCAUCCGGACCAGGUCCGUGAUGACGAGUAUCCCUCCUGGCUUUUAGCCGGUUAUGCCAGGAAUACGGGGUAUCAUCCAAACCGGAUGCGGGGACGGACUCCUUUAAAAUCCCUCAAGUCCUAAAGGAUAAGGUCCGGUUCGCCUGUCCUCCGGCAGGCCGGGCCCGACAACCAAAGAAGGAAUAAGCGUGUAGAAAGCCUUUGGGUGCGGUGUUUGGACGGCGGUUCGAGUCCGCCCAUCUCCAC
RNAcentral lists this transfer-messenger RNA (397 nucleotides) under chicken gut metagenome. It matches the Rfam family "transfer-messenger RNA". Rfam says of the family: Bacterial tmRNA, also known as 10Sa RNA or SsrA, is named for its dual tRNA and mRNA-like properties. Its role is to liberate the mRNA from a stalled ribosome. The record is from RNAcentral.